RNAcentral lists this ribosomal RNA (217 nucleotides) under uncultured bacterium. Its description in RNAcentral is "partial 16S ribosomal RNA". It matches the Rfam family "Bacterial small subunit ribosomal RNA", at positions 1284 to 1500 of the family's 1533-position model. The record is from RNAcentral.
AAUCUCAGUUCAGAUUGCAGGCUGCAACUCGCCUGCAUGAAGUCGGAAUUGCUAGUAAUCGUAGGUCAGCAUACUACGGUGAAUACGUUCCCGGGCCUUGUACACACCGCCCGUCAAACCAUGAGAGUUGGCAGCACCCGAAGUCGGUAGUCUAACCGCAAGGAGGACGCCGCCGAAGGUGGGGUUGAUGAUUAGGGUUAAGUCGUAACAAGGUAUC